Molecule: ribosomal RNA, 305 nt
Filed under: uncultured bacterium
Lineage: Bacteria
Description: bacterial SSU rRNA
Rfam family: Bacterial small subunit ribosomal RNA
Source: RNAcentral
CCCUACGGGGCGCAGCAGUGAGGAACAUUGGUCAAUGGACGAGAGUCUGAACCAGCCGAGUAGCGUGAAGGAUGACUGCCCUAUGGGUUGUAAACUUCUUUUAUAUGGGAAUAAAGUGAUCCACGUGUGGCUUUUUGUAUGUACCAUAUGAAUAAGGAUCGGCUAACUCCGUGCCAGCAGCCGCGGUAAUACGGAGGAUCCGAGCGUUAUCCGGAUUUAUUGGGUUUAAAGGGAGCGUAGGCGGAUUAUUAAGUCAGUUGUGAAAGUUUGCGGCUCAACCGUAAAAUUGCAGUUGAUACUGGUAG